Molecule: ribosomal RNA, 450 nt
Filed under: uncultured bacterium
Lineage: Bacteria
Description: partial 16S ribosomal RNA
Rfam family: Bacterial small subunit ribosomal RNA
Source: RNAcentral
GUGGGGAAUUUUGGACAAUGGGCGCAAGCCUGAUCCAGCAAUGCCGCGUGCAGGAAGAAGGCCUUCGGGUUGUAAACUGCUUUUGUACGGAACGAAACGGUCCGGGUUAAUACCCUGGGCUAAUGACGGUACCGUAAGAAUAAGCACCGGCUAACUACGUGCCAGCAGCCGCGGUAAUACGUAGGGUGCAAGCGUUAAUCGGAAUUACUGGGCGUAAAGCGUGCGCAGGCGGUUUUGUAAGACAGGCGUGAAAUCCCCGGGCUCAACCUGGGAAUUGCGCUUGUGACUGCAAGGAUGGAGGGCGGCAGAGGGGGAUGGAAUUCCGCGUGUAGCAGUGAAAUGCGUAGAUAUGCGGAGGAACACCGAUGGCGAAGGCAAUCCCCUGGGCCUGCACUGACGCUCAUGCACGAAAGCGUGGGGAGCAAACAGGAUUAGAAACCCCGGUAGUCC